GACUUGUCAUAUGAAACGAUAUGAGACACUGAAAAGUCACAACGGCCCACAACAGGAGACAACAAUUGUAGAAGUUUCUUUUAAAUUGUGAAUCCAUUUUCAUUUUGAAAGUGGCAAAGUGAAAUUACUUUUAAAAUGUCGGAAGAAGAAAAAUACAACGAUAAUGAGGAUACUGGUUCUCCGUCUCGACCCAAGAACUGCAAGUUGGAUUACCUGCAACGUAAAUCACGAAGUUCAAUUCCUCCAUUCACCUGGUAUCGCUAUCAAAAGAAGUAUAGGGAUCUACUAUUGAAUGUUAAUACGCAGGCUAGCGCGGAAUUAAUUCAUGACGUUCAUGAAUUCAUUAACGGAUUGGAGGAGGAUAUAGAUGAAGAAGAGCCUACAAAACAGUAUUAUGAGACUGAACACGAAGAGCAUAAUUACUUUGAAAAGCCAUGCAAAGAUGAUGACUUGCCUAUCAACAUUGAAGAGGAGAACACGGUCAAUAAGGAAUAUUUAUAAGAAGAGAAGAAAUCUUAUACUUCACUUGAAGAUAUGAUGUGUGUCCAUCAUGUGUCCAGUCAAUACAACGAUUGGUGAAAUAGUGGCGUGGUAGAUAGUAUGCAUCUUAUUAGCGGAAUAGCCAAACAAUUUGCUAAGAUGUGGUUUGGUAUCAAAGAAAAAGUGGCGUUACUUUCUCGUCGGACUAUACCUGAAAUAUAAAGUGUCCUCAUCAAAUAGGGCGACUAACUCGACCUUUAUCAGGCAGGGAAUUUUGGAAAGCUAGGGAAUGGGAAAACUGGGUUUUAUGUUACAGCAUUCCCAUACUUCUUCAUGUAUUACCACCAUCAUUUAUUCUGGGCUCUUCUUGCGGAAGCGUUUUAUAUUCUUUCACAAGAUGAUAUUUCGGUUUUCCAAAUUGACGUAGCCGAUCAGUUAUUAUAUAAAUUUGUAGCUGAAACUGAAAAACUAUAUGGAAAAGCAGCCAUAACGUUCAAUGUGCAUUUACUUUUACAACUGGCAAGAAGUGUGAAUCAUUGCUCUGGGUCGCUCUGGGUCCAUACAGCAUUUGCUUUUGAAUCAGCUAACGGAAAGGAUCUAAAGGAAUACUUGUUCUUCGAUGGUUCAAAAAACAUAUCAAUCUUGCGAAACGAGGUACUUUGGACCUACUUCUACUGUCCAUAGAUCAUGGGUAGAAAAUUCACAACUCUUGCUCGAAAGUUCGGUUUCAUAUAGGAAAAUGUUUAAAUACGCCUGUCUAUUUAUGUUCUCAACAAGAAGUAAUAAGCGUUCGGAUAAUACAUAUGCGAAAUUAAAUAAUAACUUUUACGUUAAAGUUCAUAAUUUUAUAGCUGAUAGAGGUACGAAAAAGGAAUUCACCAUUGUUCAAAAACUUGUUACGACAAAUUUUUUAGGAGAUGAAUGCAAAAUCUUGCAAAAAAUUAUUAGCGUAAAUGACGGCGAGUGUGCAGUUCUAACAGCCACAAUUGCGAAAGUGUCCGUUCACAGUGCAUUAAAUAAUGAAGAAUACAUAUGUGCUGUGCCAAAUUUGCAUUCCUAUUAAAAACAAAAGCAAAAGAGAAAAUCCUAGAGACAUUUUUUAUCUGAAGUUAGAUAACAACGUUGCAAACAAUUGAAAACUACAAUUGUCUGAUGUCAAAUAAUUUUCCUAACUUCAAAUAAAAAAUAUUCCUGGGAUUCACUGUGAAGAUAAGUAUUUAUUUAAGGCCGUUACUAUCACAAAAGAGCAAAACUUGUGAAAGGUUUCUGCGUUUACACUGUUUCUGUUUCCUGACCGAAAGCAUUUCCAAUCGGACAAGCACUCUAUGGUCAAUUUACAAAAUUAUAUUUCACUCAAAUAUGCCGACAUUUUUUUUUAUCAAGUUAUGAUUAUUUGAAUGUAAAGAAUGGAAAUUUUUCACUGUAAUGUACGUCCUUUUGUUAGUGAUUGUAAUGGAAUUUAUUCUUCUCUUUUGAAAUAGAUGAAAAUUUGUUUAAAAAGUUUAAAAUUGACAAAUUUGCGGUUUUUCUGUCAAUAUUUGAUGUCAAUUUACUUAAAAAAAAUUGUUUAUCAAGAAUUUUUUUGUCUGAAAACCGAAAAUUUACAUUUUUGGCAAAAACGACACAAAAUACGCGAAGAAUAAAAAAAAUGGUUUGUCUGAAAUAGUGUUAAAAAAUGUAUCUUGACACUUUCUUCUAUGUAGUGUUAUUUUCCAGACUUUAUGUACCUAUAUUCAUUAUUAUUUAUAUACGGUCAUCGAAAAACUUUAUAAUAAAUAACAUUGUUCAAUAUGUAAUUUAAUGUCCUAGAUAUAUCUGAGAACUGUGAGACUAGCUGUAAAAUAAACAAGUUGGGUUAAAAGACUAAGACUAUUUUUAAGACGUUAUUUUAUAAUGUUCGCCAAUCAUGCAACUAUAUUCCCGGCUGACCGUACACAUCGAUACUUCGUUUGUUUUAAUAUCUGCGUUGAUUUUCAAAGACAUUAGUAGAGAUUAGUAUAUUAGUACGUAUAUUAUGGUAUACUAGGGGUGUUAAAAAAAAACAGAAUCCCGAGUCUCAAAAUGCAUUUUCGAUUUUUUUGUUCCUAUUUGGUUAAAAUGAUCUAUGUAGAAGAAAAAAUAAGUCGGAUAAUAUGUCAAAGUUUUUCAUCGCGCAUUUGUCUAUUUUAAAAGAAAAUCCAUUUUUCUGUAAAACUGCUGACCAUAGUACAAAAUUAUAGAGAAUAUAAAAGAUGCGGCUCAUUAAAAUGAGUAUUUUCUGUACAUACUUUUUUAUUUUAAUAUGCAUAUUUAAGGACGUCUGUGAAGAAAAUGGUUAGAAAAGAAGCAUUUUUAAUCAUCUAUUCGACUAACUGAAAUAUCUUUCAUACACAUUUCAAUUAUUUUUUGGUUCUUAAAAAGAAAUUCGCAUAAACCAGUUUUUUAGAAAUAGUAAUUUUGCUUGUUUAUCUGAAUUGUUGUUUUGAGAACUUGAAGAAAUUUCAACUUACUUUAAUAAUAUUUCAGUAAGACGAAUAGAUCAUUAAUAUUGAUACUUUAUAACAAUAGUCUUCGCAUAUUUUCCUAAAUAUGCAUCACUAAAUGAAAACGUAUGGAAAAUUACUAAUUUAAAUGAUGAGCUACUUCUAAAUAUUAUCCGAAUUAGUUCUUCUUCCACGUGAUUAACUUUUAACCCACAACCUAGUGUGCAAAAAAGUGAAGGAUGUCCCAGAGACGUCUGCGGGACAUCUCUAAGACGUCUUAUGGAACAUGUAUUUUGAAAAUCCUAGGGAUGCUUUUAAGAUGUCUAAUGUCAGUACGAAAAAUGUCCCGAUAACGUUACAUAUCUUUAAGUCGUCUUAAGACAUCUGUAAUACAUUAGAUGUUUUAGAGACGUUGAUUUGACUGACAUUGGACGUCUUAGGGACGUCCCAAGGACAUUCUUCGUAUGUUCAUGGUUAUGCGCUCACUGGAAACAAACAAAAAAAUCUAAAAUGCAACGCGCAUUUCGGACUUCCUUUUUUUAACACCCCUGAUAUAUUUAUUUU
This is an RNA transcript of Belonocnema kinseyi, 3506 nucleotides long. RefSeq lists it as uncharacterized. The transcript has 5 exons. The record is from RefSeq and is a predicted model, not a curated record. Lineage: Eukaryota; Metazoa; Arthropoda; Insecta; Hymenoptera; Cynipidae.